RNAcentral lists this ribosomal RNA (460 nucleotides) under uncultured bacterium. RNAcentral describes it as "partial 16S ribosomal RNA". It matches the Rfam family "Bacterial small subunit ribosomal RNA", at positions 338 to 795 of the family's 1533-position model. The record is from RNAcentral.
CCUACGGGAUGCAGCAGUGAGGAAUAUUGGUCAAUGGACGAGAGUCUGAACCAGCCAAGUAGCGUGAAGGAUGACUGCCCUAUGGGUUGUAAACUUCUUUUAUAUGGGAAUAAAAUGUUCCACGUGUGGGAUUUUGUAUGUACCAUCUGAAUAAGGAUCGGCUAACUCCGUGCCAGCAGCCGCGGUAAUACGGAGGAUCCGAGCGUUAUCCGGAUUUAUUGGGUUUAAAGGGAGCGUAGGUGGAUUGUUAAGUCAGUUGUGAAAGUUUGCGGCUCAACCGUAAAAUUGCAGUUGACACUGGCAGUCUUGAGUACAGUAGAGGUGGGCGGAAUUCGUGGUGUAGCGGUGAAAUGCUUAGAUAUCACGAAGAACUCCGAUUGCGAAGGCAGUUCACUGGACUGCAACUGACACUGAGGCUCGAAAGUGUGGGUAUCAAACAGGAUUAGAUACCCUGGUAGUC